GCAGGGCUAGACUUUGUUGGCAGGAGAGACCAGAAUAAAAACAGCAACACCAGACACAGGAGAGAGAGAGAGAAAAAAAGCGCAAUGAUCCAUCGAAACGCAGGCUUUGCCCUUUCUUAAUUACGCUGCAUCCAGUGUCUUUGCAUUCCCCCCCGCCUCCCUUCCUUCCCCCCCUUUUCCGAGACGUUUGUGAAGUGGUAAUUAGCUCUAGGAGAAUAAAACCAGCUGAUUUGGAUCGGGCUGGUGCAUUUUGGGGCGAGAUCGCUAACAGGAUGGUUGCGCUGCUGCUUCUCGGCUCGCUGCUCCUCACUCUGCUGCAGCCUUCCCUACAGGGAGGAGUGUAUGUGCCUGCUGGUACAGGAGUCGGAAUUCCAAGUGGAGGUGUGCCACCUGGUACUGGAGUUUUCCCAGGAGGUGCCGGGGUCCCGUUCAAACCAGCAAAAACUGGAGCAGGUGGAUUUGGGCUGGGUGCAGGAGGCCUUGGCACUGGUGGGCUUGGCGCUGGAGGACUUGGUGCUGGUGGACUUGGUGCUGGAUUAGGUGCAGGAGGUCUUGGUGCAGGAGCUGGAGGAAAGCCGCCUAAACCAGGUUAUGGAAGCUUAGGAGCAGGUGGCCUGGGCACUGGAGGAUUCAGACCUGGAGCUGGCUAUGGUGGAUAUGGUGGUGGAGUUUACCCUGGAGCAGGAGCUGGAGGACUGAAGCCUGCAAAAUCAGGGCCAGGUACUGGAGGGACAGUAUUAGGUCCUGGCACUGGGGGCACCGUACCUGGCAGUGGGCCUGCACUCCCUGGUGGAGCUCCAGUCAUUCCUCAGACUGGUCUCCCAGGUGUGGGUCCUGGUGGGAAAGCUGCAAAACCAGGAAAGGCACCAGUGCCAGGCGUAGGAGUGCCUGGAGCCUUUCAAGGUGGAAUUCUGCCUGGACAAGGGUUUAAUGGACUAGGUGUGCUUCCAGGUGUAGCAACAGGAACUGGACUUAAACCGAAGUCAGGUACUGGUGGUGGGCCAGGCCUGAUGCAACCAGGGGUCUUUCAUGGAUACCCUCUCAAAUCUCCAAAAAACCCAGGCGGAUCCCCUUACACCGGAGGCAAAAUUCCAUAUGGUUAUGGUGGCUUUGGUACUGCUGCAGGAUUGCCUGGUGGCAAAGGAGGAGCUGGCUCUAAGCCAGGCUACCCCACUGGCACUGGUGUGGGGAACUUAGGUGUCUCAGCUGCACAGGCCAAAGCUGCUAAGUAUGGCCCUGGAGCUGGUUCAGCUGGCUUAGGUGGGGUUGGAGGUGUUCCUGGAGCCGGUUUAGGUGGGGCUGGAGGUGUACCAGGAGCUGGUGGACUUUAUCCAGGUGGAGGUGCAGGUGGUCUUUCACCAGCUCAAGCCAAGGCUGCGAAAUAUGGUGCUAGUGCUGGAUUAGGAGGAGCUGGAACCGGUGCUGGUUUAGGUGGUCUUGGUGGUGUAGGUCCUGGAGGAAUUUACCCUGGAACAGGAGGUGCAGGAGGACUCACCCCUGCUCAAGCUAAAGCUGCUAAAUAUGGUGCUGGAGUUGGUUCAUUUUUGGGAGGUGCAGGUGGAGGCCCAGGAGCUGGAGUUUACCCUGGUGUAGGAGGUACAGGAACUGGCUUUGUACCAGGGACUGGAGGAGCUUUUCCUGGAGCUGUUGCAGGAGGUCUUACACCUGCCCAGGCCAAAGCAGCUAAAUAUGGUGGAGCUGGAACUGGCUUGGGUGGUGGUGGUGUACCAGGUGCUGGAGGAGUUUACCCUGGAGCAGGUACAGGAACUGGCUUUGUACCAGGAACUGGAGGAGCUUAUCCUGGAGCAGUUGCAGGAGGUCUUACACCUGCCCAGGCCAAAGCAGCUAAAUAUGGUGGAGCUGGAACUGGCUUGGGUGGUGGUGGUGUACCAGGUGCUGGAGGAGUUUACCCUGGAGCAGGAACUGGCUUUGUACCAGGGACUGGAGGAGCUUAUCCUGGAGCAGUUGCAGGAGGUCUUACACCUGCCCAGGCCAAAGCAGCUAAAUAUGGAACUAUUGUUGGUUUAGGUGGAGCUGGAACUGGCUUGGGUGGUGGUGGUGUACCAGGUGCUGGAGGAGUUUACCCUGGAGCAGGCACAGGGACUGGCUUUGUACCAGGAACUGGAGGAGCUUAUCCUGGAGCAGUUGCAGGAGGUCUUACACCUGCCCAGGCCAAAGCAGCUAAAUAUGGAACCAUUGUUGGUUUAGGUGGAGCUGGAACUGGCUUCGGUGGUGGUGGUGUACCAGGUGCUGGAAGACUUUACCCUGGAGCAGGUAUAGGAACUGGCUUUGUACCAGGAACUGGAGGAGCUUAUUCUGGAGCAGUUGCAGGAGGUCUUACACCUGCCCAGGCCAAAGCAGCUAAAUAUGGAGUUGGAGGUGGUGCUGGUGUACCAGCUGGAACGGGAGGAGUUUUUCCUGGAAUAGGAGGUCUCACACCUGCUCAAGCAAAAGCAGCUGCUAAAUAUGGUGCUGGAACUGGUACUAGACUGGGUGGUCUUGGUGGAGUACCAGGAUUAGGAGGCCAAGGUGCAGGGUAUGCUGCUGCAAAAGCUGCAAAAUAUGGUGUGCCAGGAGGUGUACCAGGCGGUGUACCAGGUGGUGUGCCAGGUGGUGUACCAGGAGGAUAUCCUGCUGGUGCUAAAGCACUGAAAUAUCGUGUUCCAGGUGGUGUUCCAGGUGGUGUUCCAGGUGGUGUUCCAGGUGGUGUUCCAGGUGGUGUUCCAGGUGGUGUUCCAGGAGGUGUUCCAGGAGGUGUGCCAGGUGGUGUGCCAGGUGGUGUGCCAGGUGGUGUGCCAGGUGGUGUGCCAGCUGGUGUGCCAGGAGGAUAUCCUGCUGGUGCUAAGGCACUGAAAUAUGGUCCUGGUGCCGCUGGUUAUGGAGUUCCUGGUGGAUUUGUGCAACCUGGAGGGGCUGGUACCGUGCAAGGAGUUGUUGGAGGAACGGGUGGAAUCCCAGGAACGUCCACAGGAGCUGGAACAUAUCCUGGUGGAGUUAAGCCUCCUAAAUAUGGAGUUGUAGGAGGUACAGGGACUGUACCAGGAGCAGGGGGAGUACCAUUGCCUGGAACAGGAACUGGAAUUGGAGUAUAUCCUGGUGGAGUUAAGCCUCCUAAAUAUGGUACGGGAACUGUACUAGGAACAGGAGUAGCACCAUUGCCUGGAACUGGGACUGGAGGAGUACCGUUGCCUGGAACUGGAGGAUAUCCUGGUGGAGUCAAACCUCCUAAACCUGGUGUACCAAGCACUGGCAUUACUGGAACAGGUAUUGUGGAACCUGCAGCUACACCUGGUGUGGGUGUUUUGCCAGAUGGAACUGGACUUAUUUCUCCAGGUGGCACGGGUUUGCCUGUGAAACCAGCAAAGAGCCCAACUCUGCCCCCUGGUGGAACUCUUGGUCCAGGACCGACGACUAGUGUUGAAACUGGCAAGGCCCCUAAGCCCACUGGAGUUCAGCCUGGUACUCUUAUUAAACCUCCAAAGACUGGUGGUGCAGGUCCAAUCCCAUAUGGUGGCUAUGGUCCUUAUGGCGGCAGCGCUACAUUAGGAACCGGAGUUCUUCCAGGAGCAAAGCCAAUUACAGCACCAGGUGUGAGAUAUCCUACUGGUAUUGGCCUUGGACCAGGUGGAGCUGGUGUUAAACCAGCCAAACCAGGCUAUGGCUCAUUGGCCACUGGAUAUCAACAAGGUGCCAUCGCUCCAGGAACUUAUGGAGGCUAUCCACAGGCUUAUCCAGGAGGAUAUGGUCCCGGGCUGACACCUCAACAAGCUAAAGCUGCCAAAUAUGGAACCCUUCAGGGAUUCCUGGGUGGAGGCUACAGAGAUGGAUAGUAACUAGUGAGAAUCACCUGGAUACUGCCCUGUGUAUAUGCACACAUGCUGACAGGCUUGACCUCACUGAUGUGAUGAAUCCCAAGCAAGUUGGGUGUAGCCAUAUGCCUGCCAUUGAAGAUUGUGUCAUGUCAGUUGUGGUCUCAACAGAUAAAACACUAUGACCAGGGCUGUGGUGCCCAAGUGAUGAAUACAGGCAUAAACUAGCAGAGGCGCAGGGUGCCAAGGCAAAUACUGUGGCAGGAGGAGAAAGUAAACACUCUCUUGGGACAUGAAAUGACCUCAAGAAACAAUGGUGCUACUGCAUGAUCUAGAAUGUACAUUUGAUAUGCAAAAACAAUCCUAUCAUGUACAAAAAUAUAUAUAUUUUUUGUUUGUUUGUUUUUUUUUUUUUUUUUACAAACCCAAAGAGAAGCUAAGGAAAGCGGGUGAACAUUCCAGCUGUUCAUGUGACGCAUUCCACUAUGUUGCUGAUGUUUCUUUUUUUAUAGAUAGGGACACCAGAUCAAGUAACUAAUAACCAGGUUCAUAAUUUGUCAUUGUAGACCUUGAGGCACUCAUUUCUUUUCUUUUUUUCUCAAGAUUUUGAAAGACAGAAGCCAUGAGAUUUCCUUUCUGAUAGUGGUGGCAAUGGUUGACAGACCUUGUGUAGCAGAAUUGAUUUAUAAUUUUGCAUUAGAUAUCUAAUGCACUUUAUUCGUGUUUGUUCAUAUUUAUAGGUGAUGGCCUUUUGUGCCUAAAUUUGAAAAAAUGGUUUAUCAAGUACCUCUGUGGAGACCCCUGUGCUCCAAACAAGUCAGAAAUAUUCUAACAACAUGUCAGUGGUAGUAUUUUUUUUAUACUCCUGAUAGGUCGUUCCAAACUUUUCAAAAUAAUACUGGAUAUUCUUCUAUUGGCUUUAGGAUUGUGAAACUAUUUCAAUCAUAAUUCCAUCCAGUGGUCAUGAAGAAUCCUACAGAAUGUGACUCUGGGGACAUGUAUCCUCGUAUUUCCUCUAUACUGUUUACAGUAAAUCAUAGUCCUGAUCUAAACACAGGUCAAAAUCUUAAUGAAUUCUGGGUACAAAAACAUCAGCAGUUGUGAACCAUGGUGGAUAUGAUUGAGGCUGUAUUGUGCAUAUUUUAUCUCAGCUAUGAAACAGUUCUGCAAAAGACCUAGUGGCAUCCAAAAAGUGAUGAAAACUGUUUAAAAGUGUUUCGUGGCAUCUGAUAAGCUCCACUGUAUCCAUUCUUGCUAAUUGUGUUAUAUAUGAUGAGCUGACUUGAUAAGAUUAUGUUGCUAAGAUGAAAAGUGAAAAACAUAUGCAUUGUUAUCAAUUAACAAAAAGGCAAUUUACUAAAAGAGAAAUAAUAGUGCUGAUUUUACAAUAGACUAGUUUUGUACCUGAAACAAAUGACACUUCUAACAUUCCUUAAACAUGCGGAGUUGGUGCUUCCAUCACUUGAUCUACAGACGUUUAACCCCUUUAUAUUAAAAGAAUUAGCUAUUAUAUAUCGUAUGCAUACAGUAUGAUGGCUCAUGUAACUGCAGGUUAAUCUGCUUUGUUGCUGUUUUGUUUGCACCAUGUGAACUUGACCUUGACAUUAUUACCGAGUUUGUACACAUGAUAACAAAAUAUUGUUUUCUGUUUUGUUUUGCUUUUAGUAGCUUAUGCAUUUUAGUCACUGUGGAAAUCUGUAAUACUGUAUAAGAUUUUUAAAAUAUGUGAGCUGUGUGUCUGAAAGUUAAAGUGUGUGUGUGUGUGUGUGUGUGUGUGUGUGUGUGUGUGUGUUUGUGUGUGUGUUUGUAUGUGUAUCUGUGAUAAUCCCUGGUGUGUGUCUAAAUUUUGUUUAAUUGACUAAGCUUCUCUUAAUAAGCGUCAUUAGCCAGUGUAUUACCCAUCUAAUAUUAAAUUAGUUCUUCUUAAUGAUUAAUAUUUCAUGUCAUUGGUAACAUGUACUGUUUCAUCUUCAUUCAAAAUGUGUUUUUUCUUACCUGGUGCUGUAUUUGACCUGUCUGUGGUCAUAUAUGUCUAAUGUGCCGUGGCAUUUCCAUCUAAUUUAAAUAAAGGGGUGGGGCUAUUGCACUUUUUCCCACGGCGCACAUUUGACUUGUUCCAGGAAAUCUGGGCCUUUUUACUGCUUUAGUGAAAAUUAAAUAAACCGUUCUGAAAUGGAAAAGAAAA
RNA transcript from Ictalurus punctatus (channel catfish), 5994 nucleotides. It is a transcript of the gene named elastin a, with no coding region annotated. Lineage: Eukaryota; Metazoa; Chordata; Actinopteri; Siluriformes; Ictaluridae. The transcript has 63 exons. The record is from RefSeq and is a predicted model, not a curated record.